This 607-nucleotide ribosomal RNA is filed under the name uncultured bacterium. Its description in RNAcentral is "bacterial SSU rRNA". It matches the Rfam family "Bacterial small subunit ribosomal RNA", at positions 888 to 1498 of the family's 1533-position model. The record is from RNAcentral.
GCAAGAUUAAAACUCAAAGGAAUAGACGGGGACCCGCACAAGCGGUGGAGCAUGUGGUUUAAUUCGAAGAUACGCGAAGAACCUUACCUAGACUUGAAAUCCUUGGAAUCCUGCAGAGAUGCGGGAGUGCUAGUUUACUAGAACCAAGUGACAGGUGCUGCACGGCUGUCGUCAGCUCGUGUCGUGAGAUGUUGGGUUAAGUCCCGCAACGAGCGCAACCCUCGUGAUUAGUUGCUAACAGUUCGGCUGAGCACUCUAAUCAGACUGCCUUCGUAAGGAGGAGGAAGGUGAGGACGACGUCAAGUCAUCAUGGCCCUUAUGUCUAGGGCUACACACGUGCUACAAUGGUUGGGACAAAGAGCAGCGAUACCGUGAGGUGGAGCAAAUCUUAAAACCCAAUCUCAGUUCGGGUUGAAGUCUGCAACUCGACUUCAUGAAGCUGGAAUCGCUAGUAAUCGUAGAUCAGCAAUGCUACGGUGAAUACGUUCCCGGGUCUUGUACUCACCGCCCGUCACACCAUGGGAGUUGAUUUCGCUCGAAGCCGGAAUACUAAAUUAGUUACCGUCCACAGCGGAAUUAGCGACUGGGGUGAAGUCGUAACAAGGUA